CGGGGGAAUUAAGUCCUUGUUUUGGAUAAACAAAGGAACAGCACGCUUGCAAUCCAGUAUCAUCAAUUGGACAACCAUUUCACGAAUUGCAUCAUGUAAGUUGUGUUUUUCAAUGAAUUCAAAUAUGCCCGGUUUCAUAAGAUCGGCAUAAAGUGAACAAGCUUUUUCAUAUUGCCCACCAAUUACAUACAACUCGGCCAGCGCCUCUUUGAGUGCAUCAGUCAUUGAAGAGGUGUUUAGCUGAGGUUCUAUAGCAGAAAUGACAGGUAAUGCAGAAUAAAU
RNAcentral lists this unclassified non-coding RNA (282 nucleotides) under Hevea brasiliensis (rubber tree). Lineage: Eukaryota; Viridiplantae; Streptophyta; Magnoliopsida; Malpighiales; Euphorbiaceae. The record is from RNAcentral.